AUUGAACGCUGGCGGCAUGCCUUACACAUGCAAGUCGAACGGUAACAGGUCUUCGGAUGCUGACGAGUGGCGAACGGGUGAGUAAUACAUCGGAACGUGCCUAGUAGUGGGGGAUAACUACUCGAAAGAGUGGCUAAUACCGCAUGAGAUCUACGGAUGAAAGCAGGGGAUCGCAAGACCUUGUGCUACUAGAGCGGCCGAUGGCAGAUUAGGUAGUUGGUGGGAUAAAAGCUUACCAAGCCGACGAUCUGCAGCUGGUCUGAAAGGACGAUCAGCCACACUGGGACUGAGACACGGCCCAGACUCCUACGGGAGGCAGCAGUGGGGAAUUUUGGACAAUGGGCGCAAGCCUGAUCCAGCAAUGCCGCGUGCAGGAUGAAGGCCUUCGGGUUGUAAACUGCUUUUGUACGGAACGAAAAGCCCCGGGUUAAUACCCUGGGGUCAUGACGGUACCGUAAGAAUAAGCACCGGCUAACUACGUGCCAGCCGCCGCCGUAA
This 498-nucleotide ribosomal RNA is filed under the name uncultured bacterium. RNAcentral's name for it is "partial 16S ribosomal RNA". It matches the Rfam family "Bacterial small subunit ribosomal RNA", at positions 30 to 523 of the family's 1533-position model. The record is from RNAcentral.